Molecule: long non-coding RNA, 2381 nt
Filed under: Mytilus galloprovincialis (Mediterranean mussel)
Lineage: Eukaryota; Metazoa; Mollusca; Bivalvia; Mytilida; Mytilidae
Source: RNAcentral
GUUUAAAUACAAAUAAAGAUUGCCUAGCCUUUGAUACUAACAACAAUACAACCCAUAUGACUAGUUCUACAUUUGAUUGUAAAAUAAAUAUAAUCAAAAAUAUAAUCAAAACAAAUAUACAAACAUCACUAAAUAACAAUUAUUGAUAUGUAGUAUGUGUAACAGUAUAAAUUUUACAAGGAAACAUAGUAAAAUUGUUCUUAACAAAAUAUUCUAAAACAUUUUUGUAUAAAAGACUAGACUUUUUAAAAUUAAGAUAGUCUGAAUAAAUUAAAAAGUAUAAGAAACACAAUUCUCCUUUUUUUCUCUUUAAUCUUUUCUACACAGAAAAGAAUUAUUUUCAAUAGCUCCAGUUAAGCAUAAUUAUAUGAAAAUUUAUGACAAUUUGAGUUUUGAAUUUUUGGUGUUCUCAUAAAGCAUACCUACUAAAUCUAGUGAAUAAAUAAUGCGAGAAAAAACAUAAGCACACAAGAAUGGUCAUAGUACACUUUGGUAUUUUUGUAAAUCUAACUCAGCUUACUCUCUUUAUGUUAAAAUACAGGCAUAUGAAAUCAUCCAUUGGCCAUUUUCUUAAUCAUUAACAUUUAAUGGGAUAUUCACUUAUAACAUUGGUUGCAAACAUAAACAGAUAAUUCAUAUGUUUGGAAGGGUAGACAAAUAAUAAACAAAACUUGUGUUUUACUCCUAUUUUCAAAUAAAAAUUGUCUUUCUCCUUUUUGGAAACAUAUCAACAAUUUACCAAAUAUUUCAAUAUAAGAUAGCCACACACAUUUUAGCUUCCUAUUUUAAAAUAAAGAGAGUCAGCGAUGUCAUGUGACAUCUAAAUGCCAUGGUAAUAACGUCAUGUGACAUAUAAAUGCCAUGGUAAUAACUACAAUAAAUUACAAUAACUAGCACCACAAUCAUUGAAAUGGACAACCAGUGUCUUAAAAGGAAUGUAAAACUAGGAACACAUAGUACAACAUGGAUUUGUUUUCUAAAAAUAUAAAUAAUGGAUUUCUUAACAGUUCAAAAUGGAAUGUAAACUUCUCAUGUUAACAAUAAAUCUUAUGUACAAAAUAUACAAUCAUAAUUUAUCAAGGUUUCAAAUUAGUAGUUUAAAACAAGAAUGUGUCCAUAGUACACGGAUGCCCCACUCGCAAUAUCAUUUUCAAUGGUUAAUGGACCGUGAAAUUGGGGUAAAAACUCUAAUAUGGCAUUUAAAUUAGAAAGAUAAUACCAUAGGGAACAUGUAUACUAAGUUUCAAGUUGAUUGGACUUCAACUUCAUCAAAAACUACCUUGACCAAAAACUUUAACCUGAAGCGGGAAGAACAGACGAACGAACAAACAGACACACAGACCAGAAAACAUAAUGCCCCUCUACUAUCGUAGGUGGGACAUAAAAACCAUCAAUCUUUUUUAAAAUUCAUCUUAUUUUGGAGUUUGAUUCCAGAAUUAAACAAGUUUCUUAUACAUACAUGUACUUAUAUGACAUAAAUGUAUCAGUAAAAUCAGAGUACAAAAUCUGGACUAACAUGUAUUUUUGCCCUUUGGUUAUCAAGAUAUGUGAAUUCAUCUCAAAGUAUUUUUUAAAAAGUACAAAGUUUUCUACCUUUUGAAGGUGAUUAGCAAAAAUUUGUUUAUGAAUAUCUGAGUGUUGAUUUCAUUAAUAAAUAUCUUGAAAUGUGGAAAUGUCCAUGGAUGGGAUGUAUAGAAUGUUCUGAUCAAUGUACUGUUUUGUGAAUCUUAAAAGUAGUGAUGAACCUUGAAAGAUUGAGAUAUCAAGUCAGUACCAUAUGGUUUUGAUGGAUUUCAUGCAAUUUUUAACUUAAAACUGAUGUCGAAUAAUCAUCUGUAUCAGAAUAUAUUUUUUUUCUUUUAUUAAAGAAUGGACUUCUUGAUUAUUUACUCUUCAGAUUAAAUUUCUUAUUUUGUCUCAUUCAUACAGACACUAUCAUAUUUAUAUUUAUAUCACUGUUAAAUAAAAUGACCAAUGAGACAGAAUUCCUGUUAUCUAAGGGAUUACAUUUUAUAAAUUAAAACUGAUUUCGAAUUACAUUUGUACAUAAUUAUAUGGUAUUCCCUGAUUAAAAUAAGGACUAGCAAAAACGAUGAUACGAGACAGAUCAUAAGCAAUAUAUAUUAUGUUCUAAUUCAUUUCUGAAACAUAUAAAAAAGAUUAUGGUAGAAACAUUAUUCUAUGAAAUUUGAAAAAAUAAGUUCUUCCUAAUCUGAAACAUAAUUUUUUAACAAUUUACCUUGUACAUGAAAUCCAGGACUAGCUUUCAAAAGUUGGACUCGUAAAUAAAAUUAUACCAAACAUUUUCAAUCUAGUUUUGCUGAUCGAUAUUUUUAAAAAACAUAUGAUGUAAAAAUACAUAUAUAUAGCACUAUGGAAAA